CAGCACCUCAAGUGGUCAGGAUGAUUAUUGGGCCUAAAGCAUCCGUAGCCGGCUCUGUAAGUUUUCGGUUAAAUCUGUAUGCUCAACAUACAGGCUGCCGGGAAUACUGCAGAGCUAGGGAGUGGGAGAGGUAGACGGUACUCGGUAGGAAGGGGUAAAAUCCUUUGAUCUAUUGAUGACCACCUGUGGCGAAGGCGGUCUACAAGAACACGUCCGACGGUGAGGGAUGAAAGCUGGGGGAGCAAACCGGAUUAGAUACCCGAGUAGUCC
RNAcentral lists this ribosomal RNA (270 nucleotides) under uncultured archaeon. RNAcentral's name for it is "partial 16S ribosomal RNA". It matches the Rfam family "Archaeal small subunit ribosomal RNA", at positions 477 to 747 of the family's 1478-position model. The record is from RNAcentral.